RNAcentral lists this ribosomal RNA (467 nucleotides) under uncultured bacterium. RNAcentral describes it as "partial 16S ribosomal RNA". It matches the Rfam family "Bacterial small subunit ribosomal RNA", at positions 28 to 507 of the family's 1533-position model. The record is from RNAcentral.
GACGAACGCUGGCGGCGUGCUUAACACAUGCAAGUCGAACGGAAAGGCCUCUUUCGGGGGGUACUCGAGUGGCGAACGGGUGAGUAACACGUGAGUAACCUGCCCUUGACUUUGGGAUAACUUCAGGAAACUGGGGCUAAUACCGGAUAGGAGCUCCUGCUGCAUGGUGGGGGUUGGAAAGUUUCGGCGGUUGGGGAUGGACUCGCGGCUUAUCAGCUUGUUGGUGGGGUAGUGGCUUACCAAGGCUUUGACGGGUAGCCGGCCAGAGAGGGUGACCGGCCACAGUGGGACUGAGAUACGGCCCAGACUCCUACGGGAGGCAGCAGUGGGGAAUAUUGCACAAUGGGUGGAAGCCUGAUGCAGCAACGCCGUGUGCGGGAUGACGGCCUUCGGGUUGUAAACCGCUUUCGCUCAUGACGAAGCUUUGUGUGACGGUAGUGGGUAAAGAAGCACCGGCUAACUACGUG